Molecule: transfer RNA, 82 nt
Filed under: Malus domestica (apple)
Lineage: Eukaryota; Viridiplantae; Streptophyta; Magnoliopsida; Rosales; Rosaceae
Description: tRNA MD11G0102300
Rfam family: tRNA
About the family: Transfer RNA (tRNA) molecules are approximately 80 nucleotides in length.
Source: Rfam by way of RNAcentral
GUUGCUUUGGUCGAGUGGUUAAGGUGUGUGCUCGCUAAGUGCAUGGGGAUCCCUCGUGAGAGUUCAAACCUCUUAGGCGACA